This 500-nucleotide ribosomal RNA is filed under the name uncultured bacterium. Its description in RNAcentral is "partial 16S ribosomal RNA". It matches the Rfam family "Bacterial small subunit ribosomal RNA", at positions 899 to 1397 of the family's 1533-position model. The record is from RNAcentral.
ACUCAAAGGAAUUGACGGGGGCCCGCACAAGCGGUGGAUCAUGUGGUUUAAUUCGAAGCAACGCGAAGAACCUUACCUGGGUUUGACAUCCUCUGACAUCCAUAGAGAUAUGGCUUUCGUAGCAAUACGACAGAGAGACAGGUGCUGCAUGGCUGUCGUCAGCUCGUGUGGUGACAUGUUGGGUUAAGUCCCGCAACGAGCGCAACCCCCGUCCUUAGUUGCCAUCAUUAAGUUGGGCACUCUAAGGAGACUGCCGUGGUUAACACGGAGGAAGGUGGGGAUGACGUCAAGUCCUCAUGGCCCUUACAUCCAGGGCGACACACGUGAUACAAUGGCCGGUACAAAGGGAAGCAAAGCUGCGAAGCGGAGCCAAUCUCAAAAAGCCGGUCUCAGUUCGGAUUGAAGUCUGCAACUCGACUUCAUGAAGGUGGAAUCGCUAGUAAUCGCGAGUCAGCAUUAUCGCGGUGAAUACGUUCCCGGGCCUUGUACACACCGCCCGU